GGGACUAGCCGCCCCACGCCGAUUUUUUUCGCCGGCGCACCCCGACGGCGCUAUUCCAAGACCAUGGGGGCCGAAGCGAAUGGAGAUGCUCUUAGAUAGAAAAGAAAAAGAAAGGGAAAAAUUCAGCAGCACAGCCGUAUCCUACAACUGCAGUUCCGUUUCUUCUCUCCUCGCCUCGCCUUUCCCCUCUUCGGAGUUCAGACCCCUGCCGGCCUGCCGUCACACGAGCCCGCAGAACCCCACGCAAGCACCUCUCUGCUGUGUACCUCGAUCCGAAUGGAGACGGGAAGCAGCGGCGGCCAGAGGCUGCCGAAGACGGAGUCGGCGGAGAUGCGGUGGGUGGUCCCCGGCGGCGCUUAUGAAGAGGAUGAGAUCGAUAGCUCGGACGACGGCGACGGCGGCACAGACACCCCCACGGCCGCCCUGGGCUCCCGUGGCGGUGGAGGCGGCUACUCGGACGCUGAAGAGGAUGAGGAGGACGCGCUGCUGCGCCAGCGCCUCGUGCGCACCGGCCCGCGCGCCGACUCCUUCGACGUCGAAGCUCUCGAUGUCCCCGGUCUGUACCGCCACCAGGAAUUUACCAUGGGAAGGAGUAUUGUUUUGGCCCUUCAGACGUUAGGCGUUGUCUUUGGGGAUGUUGGCACCAGCCCAUUGUACACUUUCGAUAUAAUGUUCAACAAAUACCCAAAUACUUCGAAGGAGGAUGUGCUUGGAGCACUCUCACUUGUAAUAUACACUCUGAUUCUAAUUCCAUUGCUGAAGUAUACUCUGAUUGUUUUAUGGGGAAAUGAUGAUGGAGAAGGAGGGAUAUUUGCUUUGUACUCUCUAAUAUGCAGGAAUGCAAAGGCUAGUCUGCUCCCUAACCAACUGCCCUCUGACACCCGCAUAUCAAGUUUCCAACUCAAGGUACCAUCGGUCGAACUCGAGAGGUCUCUGAGGAUCAAGGAGCGCCUCGAGACUUCAUCAAUGCUAAAGAAGCUACUUUUGAUGCUUGUUCUUUUUGGUACUUCUAUGGUGAUAGCGGAUGGUGUUGUUACACCAGCGAUGUCAGUGAUGUCUGCUGUUAAUGGCUUGAAGGUUGGAAUAUCUAGUGUUAAUGAAGGUGAAGUGGUCAUGAUAAGCGUUGCAUUUCUCAUUGUUCUAUUCAGUCUGCAAAGGUUUGGAACAAGCAAAGUUGGGCUUGCUGUUGGACCUGCCUUGUUCAUAUGGUUUUGCUGCCUUUCUGGGAUAGGAAUUUAUAACAUUAUGAAAUAUGGAUCUGAGGCAAUGUUUGCUGAUCUAUGCUACUUCUCUGUUAGAUCUGUCCAGCUUACCUUUGUGUGUCUUGUUCUUCCAUGCCUUCUACUGGGUUACCUAGGGCAAGCUGCAUUUCUUAUGGAAAACUUGACUGAAAAUGAGCAGGUCUUCUUUUUAUCUAUCCCGAGUCAGGUGUUUUGGCCAGUGGUGUUCAUAGCUACUCUGGCAGCACUAAUUGCUAGUCGUACAAUGACAACUGCUAUUUUCUCAAUCAUUAAGCAGGCCACAGCUCUUGGCUGUUUUCCCCGCCUCAAGAUUAUUCACACUUCAAGAAAGUUCAUGGGUCAAAUAUACAUCCCAGUGAUGAACUGGUUUUUGCUGGUUUCCUGUCUCGCGUUUGUUACGACAUUUGGGAGCAUUAAUGAGAUUGGCAAUGCAUACGGUAUAGCUGAGCUUGGGGUCAUGAUGAUGACUACUAUAUUGGUGACCAUCAUAAUGCUUCUGAUAUGGCAGGUCAACAUCAUUGUCGUUCUAUGCUUUCUCACCCUCUUCCUGGGCCUGGAGCUAUUUUUCUUUUCUUCUGUAUUGGGCAGUGUAGCAGAUGGCAGUUGGGUUCUUUUGGUAUUUGCGGCUGUACUGUAUCUGGUAAUGUACAUAUGGAACUAUGGGACCAAGUUGAAGUACGAAACUGAGGUUAAGCAAAAACUUUCGAUGGAUUUAAUGAUGGAUCUAGGCUGCAAUCUUGGUACAGUCAGAGCGCCUGGAAUUGGAUUGCUUUAUAAUGAACUGGUGAGGGGGGUUCCUGCAAUCUUUGGUCACUUCCUGACCACAAUGCCAGCCAUUCAUUCGAUGAUCAUUUUUGUCUGCAUCAAGUGGGUUCCUGUUCCUGUCGUUCCUCAGAAUGAAAGGUUUCUCUUUCGCCGGGUCUGCCCAAAGAACUACCAUAUGUUUCGCUGCAUUGCUAGGUAUGGGUACAAAGAUGUACGCAAGGAGAACCCCCAAACAUUUGAACAGCUUCUGAUAGAAAGUCUAGAGAAAUUUAUACGGCGAGAAGCUCAAGAGCGCUCCCUGGAGAGUGACGAGAAUGGUAACACGGACUCUGAAGAGGAGGUUGCGUCAAGCUCAUCAAGAGUUCUUGUUGGUCCAAAUGGUAGCAUCUACUCUCUUGGUGUUCCACUCCUUGCGGAGUCUGCUGGUGUUUCAAAUCCAAACUUUGGAUCAAGCACAUCAUUUGAUGGAUCUCUGGACGGGACAAUGGAUGGAAGGCGAAGCCUGGACAAUGAGCUGUCUUUCAUUCACAAGGCCAAGGAGUGUGGCGUGGUUUACCUUCUUGGACAUGGCGACAUCCGAGCUCGGAAGGAGUCAUUCUUUGUCAAGAAGCUAGUGAUCAACUAUUUCUACGCGUUCCUGAGGAAGAACUGCCGGAGAGGCAUAGCAACGUUGAGCAUACCGCACACAAGGCUGAUGCAGGUCGCGAUGCAAUACAUGGUGUAGGGUUGUUUUUACCCCAAAAUUUUCUCUCUCCGAUGGCCAGGGUGCUAACUCGUGGUAGAUACAGAGGCACUGUUUACUGGAGCUACUUUUCUGCUAUAGAUUCACUAUGUAGUUAGUAGUGGGCAUUAACAACGGCACUGUUUAGUGGAAGGCUGUUGGAGACUGACCCGUUUAAUGAAAACAUGAAAUCUCCGUUUCUCCCUUUUCGUCAGCUUAUGUUCCCUUCUUUGGUCGAAAGAAAAUCCGUGGACUGCUGCUCUGAUGGUU
RNAcentral lists this ribosomal RNA (2997 nucleotides) under Triticum aestivum (bread wheat). RNAcentral's name for it is "partial small subunit ribosomal RNA". Lineage: Eukaryota; Viridiplantae; Streptophyta; Magnoliopsida; Poales; Poaceae. The record is from RNAcentral.